This 1196-nucleotide long non-coding RNA is filed under the name Anser cygnoides (Swan goose). Its description in RNAcentral is "lncRNA (ENSACDG00005001026.1)". Lineage: Eukaryota; Metazoa; Chordata; Aves; Anseriformes; Anatidae. The record is from RNAcentral.
UGGCCCUGGGAGCAGGAGUUUUUCUCCUGGCUGGCUAUUCCAUGGGAAAAGCAGAGGUGGGGAGAUGCACCACGUCUGGAAGAUAGGGGUCCUGGGAGGUGUUUUUCUGCAUGGAAUGAAAUAUGCAUCUUCUGAAUGGACUUUUUGCUAUUUGACAUCUCCUUUCCAGACUCUUAAACGGAGUGCACAUUGGUGAGGUCAAAUGAGGUCCUGUAACACUCAUCACUGAAGCCUGUGGGAUGAAGAAACCCUCUUAUCACCUAGAUGAGUAUAACCUUGCAUAGCAAGUUGCCUCUUAGAAUAUAAAACCAGUGAAGCUGCUUUUGCUGGCUAAAACUUUAAUAUCUUGUUCCACUAUGCAUUGUUUGUGGUCUCAACCAGGCAUGUGCCUACACCAAAUGAAGAGACAGCAGGCUGUAUGGGAAAAUAAUACAGAACAUGUGAUGCUGUAAGACUGCUCUCACUGCUCACAGGAGUCUUUCAUUAGGUUUAAUUCUUCCAGGAGCAAUAUACAGCACCUGUGAGUAGGUCAGAUAACAGCUUAGUAUCUGUCUGUAUGCAAAGAGAGCUAUAGUAAUAUUUCAGUGCUUCAAGCCUCUACAACUCAAGCCUCUCCCCUCAAUGUCUUUUUUUCCUUACUGACAAUCUUGCUUAGGAAAAGGCAAGGAAAAGAGCUGGUACAGAGUAUUUAUUUAAACUUGAAAUGCUGUCUUGGUCUGUAAAAACAAGCCUUUUCUGAUUUCCUAGCUCUGUGCAUAAGACUUUAACGAGUCACAUCUGGUGGUUCUUCAUGUCAUGUUACAUUAUGAAUCUUUAUGGGCAAUUAACUGGUUGGGUAUGAAAACACCCACACUAGUAAUGGGUCAAUAGGCACAUCCAGUUUCAAAAUUCAGCUCAAAUUGUUAAGUCUCUCUCCAAAGAAAAAGCACACUAUUUUCCUUCUGAUGAAUUUGAUGAGACAGUGGUUAAAACAGAGUAAACAGAAAACUUUCUCUGCAUAAAUAUUGGCUGCUGGAAAUGGCUAGUGUUCUUCCUCAUCUUGUACUUUAAACAAAUGUCAAUAGCCAAAUAACUUCUAUAUAAUUACAUUUAUUAUGGCCAUGAAAAUAAUUGUCUGAGAUGAUAUGAUGAGUUAUUUGAACUGUUUUUGGUUUAAAAGUAUUACUUAGUGGGUUUAAGAACAACAACAAAAAUGC